Molecule: ribosomal RNA, 460 nt
Filed under: uncultured bacterium
Lineage: Bacteria
Description: partial 16S ribosomal RNA
Rfam family: Bacterial small subunit ribosomal RNA
Source: RNAcentral
CCUACGGGAGACAGCAGUGAGGAAUAUUGGUCAAUGGGCGCGAGUCUGAACCAGCCAAGUAGCGUGAAGGCUGACUGCCCUAUGGGUUGUAAACUUCUUUUAUAAGGGAAUAAAGUGUUCCACGUGUGGGUUUUUGUAUGUACCUUAUGAAUAAGGAUCGGCUAACUCCGUGCCAGCAGCCGCGGUAAUACGGAGGAUCCGAGCGUUAUCCGGAUUUAUUGGGUUUAAAGGGAGCGUAGGUGGGUUGUUAAGUCAGUUGUGAAAGUUUGCGGCUCAACCGUAAAAUUGCAGUUGAUACUGGCAGUCUUGAGUACAGUAGAGGUAGGCGGAAUGCGUGGUGUAGCGGUGAAAUGCUUAGAUAGCACGAAGAACUCCGAUUGCGAAGGCAGCUCACUGAACUGCAACUGACACUGAGGCUCGAAAGUGUGGGUAUCAAACAGGAUUAGAUACCCCUGUAGUC